Long non-coding RNA from Acromyrmex echinatior (Panamanian leafcutter ant), 790 nucleotides. RefSeq lists it as uncharacterized. Lineage: Eukaryota; Metazoa; Arthropoda; Insecta; Hymenoptera; Formicidae. The record is from RefSeq and is a predicted model, not a curated record.
CGACGUUUACGCCGAAGAACGCGAGUGAGACUACUGGAAGGCCGAGUCCGCUAACUAAGGGAGCGAUAGAUCCUACAGGGCAAAACCACGAAAGACGGGACGACGACGUUAGCGGCGAAGAUUUAUCGCUUAAGUGACUCUAUCGAAGUGAAACCUCGUGGGUUGAACCGUCGCGUGUAACGGAAAGGAGUGGUUAGCUCGGAAGUGUAAGUCGGAAGUGCGUGUAGAUGUUGCACUGUGUUAAGGAAAGGGAUACAAAUGUACAUACUCUCUGCACGCAAGACUAAUUCAGACAUCAGCCUGAAGAGAAACGAAGGGAGGAAGGACAACUGAAUCAAUUUGGAGAACGGUUUUGAUAGGCCGAAUGACACGUGAAUGCGUUAUACGGCGGGGUGUUCUGAAAUAUUACACUGGUGCCGCCAAUUAUCGCCGACAGCGAGCGAAAAACGUAAUGGACGAUUACAACUAACAUCAAAUCGUGACACUUUCGGACAAUAAAAAGUCGGGAAUGUGCAAACUGUGCGCGCCGUGACGGCCGCGGCACGACGACACUGUUGACAAAACGUGAUUAUAUUUUGCUACAUCAUACGCGAAAUCGGGGCCAAAUGUCGAAAUAAUAACUUUGUGCAGAUACAUUAUAGUGAGGAAUGCGAAAACGAAAUAAUGUUAUCAAGGGCUGCAAACCGUAUUAUUAAUGCUAGAUCAAUUUUGAAUUUGACAGGCGCGUUAAAUGAUAAUUCUCGCUAGCUAUCUCACUGUAAGGAUCUUUGAAUAAUUUGCAAUUAGUAAC